Non-coding RNA from Pelobates cultripes (western spadefoot toad), 2120 nucleotides. Lineage: Eukaryota; Metazoa; Chordata; Amphibia; Anura; Pelobatidae. The record is from the annotation of a GenBank genome assembly.
AUUAAUUUAUGUUCUUAUUAACAUAUUCCAUUACUGUGAUCACGAAUAGUUUUGUUCUCUGUUAGUAGGAGUAUUUGAGUGCAAAUGUUCCUGAACCCUUUCCGCUCUUGAAUAAUAUCAUCAUAUGAAGGUACCAGGGCGUUUCAUUAUGCAACUAUGCCUGAGAAAUCUGCAGUAUGGGAUUUUUGUUCCAUUUAGAGUAUAUUACAAAAUCACUUUGUAAAUGCUGCCACCACUUGCAUUGUGCAACGGUGCCUAGUUUUGUAAAUGAAUUCUCAAAUAGAGACAAAUGCUAUACAAUGCAUCUACUUAGCUAACAUAUAAGGUCAAAUCCCUCUACUCGUCACUAUUUAUUUUUUAGAUACAAUGCAGCGUAGAAUGUGUUUAAAUGGAUUACUUAUUUUUUUAUGGUGUUCUUUCCCAUAAAGACUGUGGAAAAGACCCAUGAGAUAUUUGAUAUUUGAAUCAGAGAUAGCCUGUUUCGUUUAAAGUAGCUAACAUAACACUGCUUUCAAUGUAUUGCGUUAAAGUAACAAUUCACACUAUAUCUAUUUCAUUUUUAAAUAUGAGCUAAUUAAUUGUUAAAAAGUGAACAUUUCUUUGAAAAUACUACAUGUACUCAGAAUCAAAACUAUAUCGUAAUUCAUGGCAAAUUGAGCAUUCUUUCAGCUUAAUUACAAAAUUAUCAUGCAUUUUAAAUUCAAAUCUAGGAAGAACAUCGAGAGAAAAUCCAAAGAAGGAAAGAUCUUAGAAUCAUUUAAGGUGUUCAGUUAACAAAGUCAAACAAAGCUUAUUAACUGCAAAUUGGCAAUGGCAAUAUUUAACUUUGUAUAUUUAAACAUGAAUGACAUAAACGUACAAAAUCCAGGAGACACAUUAAUGCAAUACAACCUGGCAUUGUAUUUGUGCAUACAGGAUCUAACAAACUAGUUCAUCCCAUUAAAAAAAUAAUACAUUAAUAAGCAGAAUUUAGUAAUUCAAAUUUGAGAAAUAACAUCAAUUUGCAUGUCCGUUAGUUGGUUAAGCCAUAGAUACAUAACUGUGUAAGAGGUGGAACCCUGUAAUUAUUAUUGUAGCCCUAAUGCGUUUUCUAACCAUAAAAUAGUACACAAUUAUCUUUGAAAGACUUGCGAUGGCAUAAUUAAACAACUUUAUUAUAAAAUAUAAACUGGCAUAGAUGGCCUAAGUUGAAGGGCAUUUAAAAGCAAACGUCAAACACUAUUGGUUUAAAACAUUUGGGAGAUGCCAAUGAUACAUCAUCUUCAUAUCUAUUAAUUGCGAUGGAAUAUAAUUUCCUUGCAGUUCAUUGUAAUAAUAAUGAUGAUAAUUAAAUGAGAAGGUUAAACACGUAAGACUCUACUCCAUGUGAAUGGUUCAUUACUGAAAAUGUUUUUUAUUGGAAUUAUAUCAUCGAAUUAAAAAGCAUUAUAGGUGCUACAAUGCAUUUUUAGUUUUGAUCUUCACAUUUUACUUUGCAGAGCACAUUAUUACAGUGUGUUCAACAAUACCUGUGUAAUUGGUACAUUUUGUUACCUAUAGGUAGAUGUAGUUGUUACUCAUUUUUUAAUCAAGACAGAAUUCAAUUCUAUCUUAUUACAAACAUUUAAUGGGGAUCUAUUGCAUCCCGGGAUUUUUAAUAUUACGUUUACUCAGCGCCCAUAUUUAAAAAAAAUAUGUGCCUGUGUGGUCUGAAAAAUAAAAUUCAAUGUAAAAAUCUACAUCAUUGUACUUUACUCACAUAAUUUGUAGUGGAGGAGAAACAGAAAGAAUAUUUCUGUUUAUCUUUCAUCUAUGCAAUGUGUGCACUGAUUAUGCCUAGACUGUAUUGCAAAAUCUCAAUUGCUAAAUCUUUAAUACAUAUAUAAAAAAGGUACAUCAGAUGAAAAGAAAAGAUACAACACAAGGUAUAGAUGAAUAUCAAUGCUUUAUUUAAUAGUGUAAUUCCCAUAAAAGUGAUUGCUCCCCUGUAAUAUGCAGUAUUUGGGCUAGUCUCUAAAAUAGAUUACCAAUAGAUAUCGGUUGAGUUCCAAUUAUUUAAGUUUUAAUAAAGCAUCAUAUAUUUAUACCACACAGAAAAUUGCAUCUGACCUGAUAGUAAACAUUGUUGUGAUAGAAUGAUG